AGUAAUGUCUGGGAAACUGCCUGAUGGAGGGGGAUAACUGCUGGAAACGGCAGCUAAUACCGCAUAACGUCGCAAGACCAAAGAGGGGGACCUUCGGGCCUCUUGCCAUCGGAUGUGCCCAGAUGGGAUUAGCUAGUAGGUGGGGUAACGGCUCACCUAGGCGACGAUCCCUAGCUGGUCUGAGAGGAUGACCAGCCACACUGGAACUGAGACACGGUCCAG
Molecule: ribosomal RNA, 222 nt
Filed under: uncultured bacterium
Lineage: Bacteria
Description: partial 16S ribosomal RNA
Rfam family: Bacterial small subunit ribosomal RNA
Source: RNAcentral